AAGAAACAAACAAAAAAAGGGUUAUUUUUCAAUUUAAUCCAGACUGGGCCAAUUUUCUUGGCCCAACUGCCUUGUUUCCGUCCCAACCCAAUUCACAGCCCAAUACUCGCCUGGUCCAAUGCCCUUCCCCCCACAUUAAUACAACUAUAGUCCCUUCCUCUCAUCAGACCUUCCCUCUAGACAUUAGAGACAAAAAAAUCAGAUCCCCCCCUUUCCCAUAAACCUAACGCCGCUCCCUCUGAUUUUUUUAAGCUCUAACCAGCAGCCUUCUCUAAACAAGCAACAAAAGAGAUAAGACCCCUUCCAACAAGAAAAACUGGGUAGCUUUCCCUUCUUCUUCUCCACUCCCUCACUCGCACCAGUCGUCCUCCAUUUCCCCGUCAUCUCCAAACACCCUCUCCACUUCUCGCUAGUUUUCAGAGUAAAGAACUAUGGUUUAAGACGGAAAAAAAAAAGAAUUCUCGUGCUCAACAUCUGCAUCAAUAGUACAAAUAGUUUCUCUACCAUUUUCGGGUUUGAAAAGCCGAAUUCAUCUAAAAAUUGUUGUUGUCGGCGACUGUUGCAUAGCUGAGCUCCAUCCUUACCGUUUUUCAGCCUCUAUUUGGCCUUUCCUUACUACUUUUCUUGCUUAAGAGGUAAACUCAGAAGAACCCCUUUGUAUUUAGUUAUAUUUAGUGAUGAAUGGAUCUCUGUUUCUUGUUUGAAGUCAUGUUUUGAACCUUUUAUUUUUAUUUUUAUGCAAUUAGAGGAAAUUGGAGUUUCUUUAAGCUAUAUAUUUUGAUGAUCGGCUGCUUCGACAUAUAAUUAAACAGUUGGUUUAGUUCCUUUUUAUCUUUCCUUUUAGUCUCAUGAGCAUGUUUUGAUUCCUGGUUGAGAAUGUUCUGUACGGUCAUGUGACGGUGUAUGUGUAGUGUGCUUAAUUUUAUAAAUAGUGUUAGUGCUUCUUGAUCUUGCGGAUGUUGUGAUGAAGGUUUGGCACAAGCUGUAAGCAAUGAAGUUCGUCAUGUAUUCUGCUCUAUAUCAAAGCUCACCUUGUGAUAUGGUCUUGUUUACUGUUUUUUCUUAGAAAUGUUAUCCAUAGGCUUGUGGUAUCGAUAGUUUCUUUGGUGUCAUGUAUCAUUAACUUACAGUUGGUCGUUAUUGAUGGUUAAACAAGAAACAAGAAUCUCAAAAAAAUGUUUUGAUCUUUGUAUAAGAUUGAUGUUGUUAUUUCUUGUGGUAUGUUUUUGUUUGAACCUUACUAAGCAUGUCCUAUAGUGGGAGUUCUUGAUAAUAAUCAUUCUUAUAGUUUAUGUCACGACCCCGUUUCUCCCUCCAUGAACCAUCGUGACGACACCUAGUCUCUAUGACAAGGUAAGCCUAUUUUGUGGAAGAAAACCAAAAUUUACGAAAGUAAAACAAUUUAAAACAGAAAUAAAGUAGUAAUAGUGUUUAAAUGUGCCGCUCGGCUUACAACAUGUUUAACUCUAAUUAUCAAUACAUAAUUCCAAGACCCGGAAAUCCACGAAUCACAAGCUUAGAUUCAAUACUACAUAGCUCUAACUCUGGAAUGUCUAAUAAGAGUAGAAAAGUAUAGAAGGGUUAAAUACUAAAAACAGGAAUAGAAAGGGACUUCUCGGUCUGCAGACGUGGAAGAUGUACCUCAAAGUCUCUAGAGCAGUCGUCUCCUCAAGGAUGAUAGGCCUGAGUAGCAGUACUUGGAUCUACAUAUGAAAAACAUGCGUAGAAGGGGCAUGAGUACACCACAACAGUACUCAGUAAGUGUCAAGCCUAACCUCGGUUGGGUAGUGACGAGGAAGGUUAGGGCCCUACUGAGAUUAAAUAAAUAUAAAGAUGACAGGAUAAGAUAAGCAGCACAAUUGAGAAUCUACAGUAAGAAUCUAUACAUGAUAAUAAGAGUACUAUAACGGAAAACAGAGAUGAAGGCAAACCACAAGGAAGUAACUAGGGAUCUCUUAGUAUCCCGAGGAUCUCUUAGUACCCUCAACAUAUGCUAGGGAUCUCUUGGUAUCCCGAGGAUCUCUUGGUAUCCUCAAUAUAUGCUAGGGAUCUCUUGGUAUCCCGAGGAUCUCUCGGUAUCCUCAAUAUAUGCUAGGGAUCUCUAGGUAUACUGAGGAUCUCUCGGUAUCCUCAAUGUAUGAUAGGGAUCUCUUGGUAUCCCGAGGAUAUCUUGGUAUCCUCAAUGUACGUGCUGGGGAUCUCUCGGUAUCCUGCACUUUAGCUCAAAUCGUAAAUGCAUAUAGGAGAUCUCCCAGGAUGUCGUCCCGUAGUCCCAAAGUAAAACACACAACAAUGGCACAAGGAGUACUCAAACUAAACUCAACUUCAUAACGAGGUAACACAGANNNNNNNNNNNNNNNNNNNNNNNNNAAUAGAAAGGGAAAAUACAAUUAAAAUUACUUAAUGAAAAUCUAAUUUUCAACAAUUAGAACAAGUACGCACUCGUCACCUCACGUACAAGGUAUUUCAAUAAUCACAAUACCAAUCCUAAGGGGAAAGUCCCCCACACAAGGUUAGACAAGCCACUUAUCUCAAACCGGCUCAAAAUCAACCUGACACCAUGUCUUUGCCACGAGUACUCGACUCCAAAUGGCCAAAUCUAUUCAAUUCAAUUGCAUAAUGUAAAUAACACUUCAAGUAACUGAUUCUACAAUUAAAUUCUAACCUAAUAGCGAAAUUAUGUAAAAUGACCAAAACAGCCAUCUGACCCACAUCUCGGAAUUGGGUAAAAUUUAUAGUUUCAGAAUCCUCACACUCUCACGAGUCUAACCAUACCAAAACUAUCCAAAUCCUAUGUCAAAUCCCCAAUCAAAACACAAUUUCUUGGUCUAAGAAGUUUUCCCCAAUUUUCAUACAAAUUCCGAAAUUAAAGGAUGAAUUCAUGUUUAGAUUAAUGGGUUACAAGCAAAAAGGAGUCUAAAAUCGUUACCCUAUCGAUAUUUCUGAAAAUCCCUCAAAAUCUCGCUCAAAUCCCAGCUCUCAAGCUUAAGUUUUGAUAAAAAUGGCUAAACCCUUGAUUUUGAAAUCUUAUAUCUGCCCAGGCGCGUUCUCCUUUAUGAACAUGAGGCUACUAUCGCGAACGCGAUGCACAAAAGUCCUGCUGGCCAAAUUUCUCUUUCGCGAACGCGUAGCUUACAUGGGCAGACCCUAUGCGAACGCGAGGACCAUGUCGCGAACGUGAAGACCAACGGGUCCUUACCUUCGCGAACGCAGGACAGCAUCGCGAACGCGAAGCACAUUUCAGCUGCUUCACCCAGAUGCUCUACGCGAACGCGAGACCCUCUCGCGAACGCAAUGAAUGUUUUCUCUACAACACAACAGCAGAAAAUCUGUUGUCUUUCCAAGUCCAAAAGUGGUCUGUUGAGGAUCUGAAACACCCCCGAGGCCCCGGGACCUCAACCAAACCUUCCAACCAAUUCUAAAAUAUCAUUCAAACUUUUUCCAACCUUCGGAAGGCUCAAAACAACAUCAAAACACCUAUUUUUCAUCGGAUUCAAGCCUAAGAAUUCCAAAAACUCUAAAAAUACGUUUUCGAUCAAAAAGUCUAUCAAACCUCGUCUGAAUGACCUGAAAUUUUGCACGCAAGUCACAUUAAACACUACGGAGCUACUCCAACUUCCGAAAUUCCAUUCCGACCCUUGGAUCAAAAUCUCACUAUCGAACCGGAAACUUCAAAAAUUCAACUUUCGACAUUUCAAGCCUAAAUUAGCUACGGACCUCCAAAACAUAAUCUGGACACGCUCCUAACCCCGAAAUCACCCAACGGAGCUAACGGAACCAUCAGAUUUCCAUUCUGAGGCCGUCUUCACACUGUUCUGACUACGGCUAACUUUCCAACACUUAAGCUCUUAUUUACGGACUAAGUGUCCCAUAACUCUCCGAAACUCAAAACCGAACAUCCCAGCAAAUCAAAAUAGCAGAAAUAAACUUGGGAAAAGCAGUUAAUAGGGGAUCAGGGCGUUAAUUCUUAAGACGACCGGCCGGGUCGUCACAUGAAAUAGUGAAAAGAUGAGGGUAACGGCUGCACAUAUCCUGCUCGGUCUCCCAGGUCGCCUCCUUGACCGGCUGGCCCCGCCACUGAACCUUUACCGAAGCAAUGUUCUUUGACCUCAGCUUUCUAACCUGCCUGUCCAAUAUUGUCACUGGCUCCUCAACAUAAGAUAGAUCGUUGUCCAACUAGACUGAACUAAAAUCCAACAUGUGCGAUGGAUCACCGUGAUACCUCCGGAGCAUCGAAACAUGGAAUACCGGAUGAACUCCGGCCAAGCUGGGAGGUAAGGCAAGCUCAUAAGCAACCUCCCCAACACGCCUCAAUAUCUUAAAAGGGCCAAUAAAUCUCGAACAUAACUUUCCUUUCUUCCCGAAUCUCAUAACGCCCUUCAUAGGCGAAACCCGAAGCAGAACCCGGUCUCCAACCAUAUAGCAAACAUCACGAACCUUUCGGUCCGCAUAACUAUUAUGUCUGGACUGGGUUGUACGGAGUCUAUCCUGAAUCACCUUAACCUUCUCGAAAGCAUCCUAAACCAAGUUUGUGCCCAAUAGUCUAGCCUCACCCGGCUCACACCAGCCACCGGGGAUCUACACCCCUACCAUAUAAUGCCUCAUACGGUGGCAUCUGAAUGCUGGACUAAUAGUUGUUGUUGUAAGCAAACUCCGCCAAUAGCAAGAACUGAUCCCAAGACCCUCCAAACUCAAUCACACAUGUACGGAGCAUAUCCUUAAGAAUCUGAAUAGUGCGCUCAGACUGUCCAUUCAUUUGAGGGUGAAAUGUUAUACUCAACUCCACCCGAGUACCCAACUCAUGCUGAACGUCCCUCUCGAACCGUGAUGUGAACUAAGUACCUCUAUCUGAAAUGAUGGACACUGGAAUACCUUGCAGAUGAACAAUCUCUCGGAUAUAAAUCUCCGCCAACCGCUCUGAGGAAUAAGUAGUACACAUAGGAAUGAAAUGAUCUGAUUUUGUAUCCGAUCCACAAUCACCCAAAUAGCAUCAAACUUCCUCAAAGUCUGUGAGAGACCAACUACAAAGUCCAUGGUGAUUCGCUCCCACUUCUACUCCGGAAUAUCUAUCUACUGAAGCAACUCACCUGGUCUCUGGUGCUCAUACUUCACCUGCUGACAGUUGAGACACCGGGCUAUGAAUCCGACUAUAUCUUUCUUCAUCCGCCUCCACCAAUAGUGUUGCCUCAAAUCCUGAUACAUCUUUAUGGUACCCGGAUGGAUGGAAUACCACGAACUAUGGGCCUCCUAUAGAAUCAACUCUCGCAGCCCAUCAACAUUGGGUACACAAAUUCGACCUUGCAUCUUCAAUACCCCAUCAUCACCAGUAGUCACAUCUCUGGCAUCAUUGUGCUGAACCUUGUCCUUGAGGACAAGCAAAUGAGGGUCAUCAUACUGUCGCUCCCUAAUACGAUCAAAUAAGGAAGACCGAGAAAUCACGCAAGCUAGAACCCCACUGGGCUCUAAAAGAUCAAAUCUCACAAACUGGCUAGCUAAGGCCUAAACAUCCAUCGCCAUAGGCCUCUCCGAUGCUGGUAAAUAUGCCAAACUCCCUAAACUCUCCGCCCGGUGACUCAAAGCAUCAUCCACUACAUUGGCCUUGCCCGGGUGAUACAAAUGGUGAUAUCAUAGUCCUUCAGCAACUCUAACUACCUCUUCUGGCGCAAAUUUAGAUCCUUUUUCUUGAACAGGUGUUGCAAGCUCCAAUGGUCAGUUUAAAUCUCACAAGGCACCCUGUAUAAGUAAUGGCGCCAAAUCUUCAAGGCGUGAACAAUGGCAGCUAACUCAAAGUCGUGAACAGGGUAGUUCUUCUCAUGUAUCUUCAAUUGUCUGGAUGCAUAGACAAUCACCCUACCAUCCUGCAUCAACACCGCUCCGAGGCCAACCCUCGAGGCAUCACAAUAAACCGUAUAAGACCCCGAACAUGGAGGCAGUAUCAAAAUUGGGGCUGUGGUCAAAGCUGUCUUGAGCUUCUGAAAACUCGCCUCACACUCCUCCGUCCACUGGAACGGAGCACCCUUCCAGGUCAACCUGUCAUAGGGGCUGCAAUCGAUGAAAACCCCUCCACAAAAUGACAAUAGUAGCCCGAAAAACUAAGGAUACUGUGGAUCUCGAUAGUUGUGGAUGGUCUGGGCCAACUCUACACGGCCUCUAUCUUCUUCGGAUCCACCUAAAUACCCUCACUCGAUACCACGUGGCCUAGGAAUGCCACUAAAUCCAACCAAAACUCACAUUCCGAGAACUUAGAAUAUAACUUCUUCUCUCUCAGAGUCUGAAGCACAGUCCUCAGGUGUUUCUCAUGAUCUUUCCGACUCCGGGAAUACACUAGAAUAUUAUCAAUAAAGACAAUGACGAACGAGUCAAGAUACGGUCGGAACACACUGUGCAUCAAAUGCAUNNNNNNNNNNNNNNNNNNNNNNNNNUAUCCCCUGUGUGCCUUGAAGCUGGUCAAACUGAUCAUCAAUACAAGGCAAAGGAUAACGGUUCUUUACUGUAACCUUAUUCAACUGGCGGUAAUCAAUGCACAUAUGCAUGGAACCAUCUUUCUUUUUCACAAACAAGACAGGAGCACCCCAAGGUGAUACAUUGGGCCGAACAAAACUCUUAUCAAGUAAUUCCUGUAACUGAUCCUUCAACUCAGGAGGAGUCGUACGAUAUGGGGGAAUAGAAAUGGGCUGAGUGCCCGGCAACAGAUCAAUGCCAAAAUCAAUAUCUCUAUUAGGCGGCAUGCCCGGAAGAUCAGCUGGAAACACAUUGGGAAAAUCCCAUACUACUGGGACUGAAUCAACUGAAGGGGUAUCAACACUGACAUCUCUCAUAUAAGCUAAGUACGCAUCACACCCCUUCUCAACCAUACGCUAAGCUUUAAGAAAACAAAUAACUCUACUGGGAGUGUGAUCUAAAGUACCCCUCCACUCAACACGAUGUACACCUAGAAUAGCCAGCAUCACGGUUUUGGCAUGACAAUCAAGAAUAGCAUAAUGGGCUGACAACCAGUCCAUGCCUAAGAUAAUAUCAAAAAUCUACCAUGUUGAGCAAUAAUAAAUUGACUCUGGUCUCAUAACCACUAAGCGCAACCAAACACAACCGAUAAAUGCAGUCCAUAACAAGAGAAUCUCCCACAGGAGUAGAAACAUAAAUAGAGGAACUCAAAGAAUCCCGAGGUACACCCAAACACAGAACAAAAUAAGAAGACACUUAAGGAUAGGCGGAGCCUAGAUUGAAUAAAACCGAUGCAUCUUUAUGACAAACCAGGAUAAUACCUGUGAUGAUAGAAUCGGAGGCGACAGCCUCAGUACGGGCAGGAAGGGCAUAAUAUGUGGCAUGUCCUUCCCCUCUAGCUGGCUGGGCAGGUGGGGUAGUAACUGGUGCAGUGAACAUAGCCUGAGAACUCUUGGAGCAUAUUGUGGCUGAGAAGUCUGUGGAGGUGCACUCCUUCCAAGUCUAGGGCAAUCCCUCACAACAUGGCGUGUGUUACCACACUUAAAACAAGAUCUGGGAGGACGUGGCAGUGAAAACUAUGCGGUAUGGGUACUCCAAGACCCUUGAACACCUGAAACACUGUGUGAAUUCCGAGAUGCAAACUAAGCUGGCUAACACACAAAACCUCUACCAUGCCAUACUCUUCCUCCAAAAUAAGGAUCAGUGGGUCUCUCCAAUCCACAAGGUCUCCUCACUUCCCUAUAUUCUCUCUCCUGACCUCGUCUGUCCUCUCUCUACUGGACCCACUGUCUUCUACUUGGCGAGAGGUCCUCACCACCCGCUGAACUAGGACCACAGGAUGUGUCGCUAUGAUGCCCAAAAUCCGACCAAUGCAAACUCGUCACUCUGGAGUGGGGGCGGUGGGAGUCUGGGUCCCUUCUCCGAUUUGUGAAGUCGUUGGUACAACCUGAAUCAACCCCGCCUGAACUAACGUACCAAACAUGCUCAGGAACUGUGCUAAUGUCUCCUGAAGUGCUGGAGCAGUAGUAGUAGGCACAUCUGGUGCCUGGGCUCUAGCUGGAACUCCUGGUGGCUCCUCGGUGGCAGCUCGCGCGGGUGCUCUAGUUACACCACGUGCGCAUCCUCGGCCCCUACCUCGGCCUCGACCUCUGACGGCUCUCGCAAGGGGCGCGGGUGCUUGAUCAUCUUUGGUUGCACCUAUCCUCACCAUAUGUGAGAGAAUAGAAGACAGAAGUUUAGAAUUGUGAUGUCAAAAUAUCGCACGACAAGGAAUCAAAUGAAGUGGAAAUUUUCCUAACAGUUACAUAGCCUCUCGUAGACAAGUACAGACGUCUCUGUACUGAUCAGCGAGACUCUAAUAAACUGGCUUGUGAUCCAUGACUCCUAUGAACCUAGAGCUCUAAUACCAACUUGUCACGACCCUGGUUCGCCCUUCGUGAACCAUCGUGACGGCACCUAGUCUGUACGACUAGGUAAGCCUAUUUUGCGGAAGAAAACCAAAAUUUGCGGAAGUAAAACAAUUUAAAAAAGAAAUAAAGUAGUGACAGUGUGUAAUGAGCCGCUCAUCUUACACCAUGUUUAACUACCAAUACCAAUUCAUAAAUCCAAUACCCGGAAACCCACGAAUCACAAGCUAAGAUUCAAUACUACAUAGCUCUAACUCCGGAAUAUCUAAUAAGAGCAGGAAAGUACUGAAGGGCUAAAUACUAAAAGCAGGAAUAGAAAGGGACUUCUCGGUCUACGGACGUGGCAAAUGUAUCUCGAAGUCUCUAAAGCAGUCGUCUCCUCAAGGAUGAUAGGCCUGAGUAGCGCUACCUGGAUCUGCACAUGAAAAACAUGCACAGAAGGGGCAUGAGUACACCACAGCGGUACUCAGUAGGUGCCAAGCCUAACCUCGGUUGGUAGUGACGAGGAAUGUCAAGGCCCUACUAAGAUUAAAUAAAUAUAAAGAUGAUAGGAUAAGAUAAGCAGUACAAUUGAGAAUCUACAGUAAGAAUCUAUACAGGAUAAUAAGAGUACAAUAAUGGAAAACAGAGAUGAAGGCAAACCACAAGGAAGUAACCGGGGAUCACUCAGUAUCCCGAGAUCUCUUAGAACCCUCAAUAUAUGCCAGGGAUCUCUUGGUAUCCCGAGGAUCUCUCGGUAUCCUCAAUAUAUACUAGGGAUCUCUUGGUAUCCCGAGGAUCUCUCGGUAUCCUCAAUAUACUCUAGGGAUCUCUUGGUAUCCGGAGGAUCUCUUGGUAUUAUCAAUGUAUGAUAUGGAUCUCUUGGUAUUCCGAGGAUCUCUUGGUAUCCUCAGUGUAUUAUAGGGAUCUCUUGGUAUCCCGAGGAUCUCUUGGUAUCCUCAAUGUACAUACUAGGGAUCUCUUGGUAUCCCGCACUUCAGCUCAAAUCGUAAAUGCGUACAGGGGAUCUCCCAGGAUGCCGUCUCAUAGUCCCAAAGUAAAACACACAACAAUAGCACAAGGAGUACUCAAAUAAACUCAACUUCAUAACGAGGUAACACAGACAAUUCUAACCUAACAUGCUUCACGUAAUACAAAUAAGGCAGUUAAAGCAAUUAAGUCAAUUAGACAUGUUCUCUAACUAACAACAAAUUUAAAAGUGCAAGUAGAAUAAAUAGAAAGGGAAAACACAAUUAAAGUUACUUAAUGAAAACAGGAUUUUCAACAAUUAGCAUAAGUACGCACUCGUCACCUCACGUACAAGGCAUUUCAAUUAUCACAAUACCAAUCCUAAGGGGAAAGUCCCCCACACAAGGUUAGACAAGCCACUUACCUCGAACCGGCUCAAAAUCAACCCGACACCAUGUCUUUGCCACGAGUGCUCGACUCCAAAUGGCCCAAAUCUAUUCAAUUCAAUUGCAUAAUGAAAAUAACACUUCAAGUAACUGAUUCUACAAUUAAAUUCUAAGCUAAUACGCGAAAUUAUGUAAAAUUACCAAAAUGCUCCUCGGGCCCACGUCUCGGAAUCGGGUAAAAUUUAUAGUUUCAGAAUCCUCACACUCUCACAAGUCUAACCAUACAAAAAUAAUCCAUAUCUGAUGUAAAAUCCCCAAUCAAAACUCAAUUUCUUGGUCUAAGAACUUUUCCCCAAUUUUCAUAAAAAUUCCGAAAUUAAAGGAUGAAUUCAUGUUUAGAUUAAUGGGUUACAAUAAAAAAGGAGUCUAGAACCAUUAUCCAAUCGAUAUCUCUGAAAAUCCCUCAAAAUUUCGCUUAAAUCCGAGCUCCCAAGCUUAAGUCUUGAUAAAAAUGGCUAAACCCUCGAUUUUGAAAUCUCAUAUCUGCCCAGGCGCGUUCUUUUUUGCGAACGCGAGGCUACUAUCGCGAACGCGAUGCACAAAAGUCCUGCUGGCCAAAUUUCUCUUUCACAAAUGCGAGGUCCACUCGCGAACGCGUAGCUUACACGGGCAGACCCUAUGCGAAUGCAAUGACCAUGUCGCGAACGCGAAGCACAUUUCAGCUGCUUCACCCAGAUGCUCUACGCGAACGCGAGACCCUCUCGCGAAUGCGAUGAAUGUUUUCUCUGCAACACAACAGCAGAAAAUCUGUUGUCUUUCCAAGUCCAAAAGUGGUCCGUUGAGCAUCCAAAAUACCCCCGAGGCCUCGGGACCUCAACCAAAUCUGCCAACCAAACCUAAAACAUCAUUCAAACUUGUUCCAACCUUCGGAACGCUCAAAACAACAUCAAAACACCUAUUUUUCAUCGGAUUCAAGCCUAAGAAUUCCAAAAACUCUAAAAUACUCUUUCGAUCAAAAAGUCUAUCAAACCUCGUCCGAAUGAUCUAAAAUUUUGCACGCACAUCACAUUAAACACUACGGAGCUACUCCAACUUCUGAAAUUCCAUUCCGACCCUCAGAUCAAAAUCUCACUAUCGAACUGGAAACUUCAAAAAUUCAACUUUCGGCAUUUCAAGCCUUAAUUAGCUACGGACCUCCAAAACACAAUCCAAACACGCUCCUAACCCAAAAAUCACCCAAAGGAGCUAACGGAACCAUCAAAUUUUUAUUCUGAGGCCGUCUUCACACUGUUCCAACUACAACCAACUUUCCAACACUUAAGCUCUCAUUUAGGGACUAAGUGUCCCAUAACUCUCUGAAACUCAAAACUGAACAUCCCGGCAAAUCAAAAUAGCAUAAAUAAACUUGGAAAAAGCAGUUAAUAGGGGAUCGGGGUAUUAAUUCUUAAGGCGACCGGCCGGGUCAUCACAGUUUAAGAAAAAAAACCUUCAUUACAUCCUUUGUUUACAUGCCACUAGCUAGUAGCGGCAUUUACCUCUCUUUUCCUUGUACCACUCUUUGUCAUCAUUUUUUUUUACUUUAUAAGGAAUGCUUCUGAAAUCUCUAGUGCCAAUACUGUUGUGAAUUUGUUUAGUUCUUGUACUGAAAUGGAAGACCCCAGAUUCGAGGAGAGGGGUUAUGUUGUUAGAGCAGAAAUUGACACUUCUGCUCCAUUUGAGUCUGUGAAAGAGGCUGCUACUCGAUUUGGUGGAAUUGGAUUUUGGAAACCAACUUUUUCACAAAUCAUUUGAUAAGUGCUGGAAGACAAGCCUUGAAUACACUCAAUGAUCAAUUUUCGUUUUUUCCCCUUUUUUAUAUAUUUUCAUAACCUAUGGCCUUCACAAUAAUUUCAAAGUAGUUUAGGAAAAUGAUUCAUGAAUAUCAUAGUUUGCUUUAGGCGCGUAAUUAAAUUAUCAUGACUAUGGGUACAGUUCUCGUGGCAUAGUCGUGAUACCUAAUUCCCAAAUUCGGGUGCAUAUUUCAUGUCACCCGACCACAACUUCGAACAAUAAUAAAAUACACAUUGUAAAUUGUGGAUACGGUUCCUGUGACACAAUUCGCAACUUGUACAAAAAUAAAUAGGUGUACGACAAUCGUGACUUAUUUCAGAAAUAACUCCAUAAAUAAUUAAAAGCGGUAUAAAAGGUUAAAAAUGCACAAUAGGUUUAAGCACAUAAUAAAUCAGAUAAUGAGACCAAUUAUUAAUAGUUGAGCGACGGUGCUAAAACCAUGGAACUAGGGAGUGCCUCACACCUUCUUCUGGGUUAACAAAAUUUCUUACCCGGUUUUCUGUGUUCGCAGACCAAAAAAUAGAGUCAAUUUCCUCGAUUUGGGAUUUAAAAUAAACCGGUGACUUGGGACACCAUAAAUAUCCCAAGUGGCGACUCUGAAAUAAAUAAAAUAAUUUCAUCUCGAAUAAUGUCACUUUAAUUGGAAAAACUCCUUUAUAUCCCCUCGGGUAAAAAGGAGGUGUGACACCAAUAUUUCAAUUUCAACCCAAAUAAGGGGAGUAAUCACGACCCGCCCCUACACCAACACGUGUAGUUUCAGGUGUGGGUCUUAUGACCCACCCUUCCUCGGAUUUUUUAAUGAUACUUCCAAAAUAAUUUUUGAAUUGAUUUGCACACAAAGGUAACAUAAAUACAAUUGUACUCACCUCAACCUCUUUCACAUUGUAUAAAUCCUCAUUAGUAUUUCCAGUCACUCACAACAACAAUAUUUCCUUAGCUCAUUUGGCAUUCACAAGAUUAUUUAUUCCUGGUACUGCAGCCGUAUUUCCUAUUCCACACUUUCACCUCUUUCAAUUUCAAAGAUCACCAUCAAAUAUCAACAUAUAGAAUAUUUCUGUAAUCAUAUACCUGAAAAUUAUUAGUAAUGGAAACUUUAAACACAAAAGGUUUCUUCCCAAAGAUUGGGGCAUACCAACCAGCAAUAGAAACACACAUCAAAAUCAUAAACAAUCAAUACAUCAUUUACUCUUGCAAUACUUUUCCAGAAAUGACAAUGUACAAUUUUAACACCUGAGUAUAUAAGAACUCGAAUCACACUGGAUAUAUUUGUAGAGCAAAACAUUAGUUAAAAUAGCCACUUAUGGGCAUGAAUUGAGUACAAAAGCUUUUAGGAAAUUCUAUUUUCGAAAUUAUUUUUAGUCAGUUGAGUCGAGGCUCAUUUCAUAAUCUUUAUCACAUCCUCUUAAUUGGCACCACUAGCCACAAUUAUAACUUAAAAUCUUGGCACGUUGGUAGCACACUAUUUCCCCAAUUCACUUAUUUUAUUUUCAAGUAUCUUUAUAGAUUAUCAACAACAAGACAUUUUCAAUUAAUACUUUAGGUAAACAUAUGAGUAAUUUAGAGCCUUAAGCAUGUCAAGUUUUUCUCACCCAAUUGGUAUACUAGUUUUCAUUUAAAACACGACUCAAAGCCAUAAUAUUUCAAUAUGCAAACCAUAUUUUGAACAUCUAUCUUUCGACAUAAGGCUCAUUCGGAAUAAUCAAGUUUAUAGGGGAUAACCCGGAAUAUAGAAAUUAGGAAUCUUGAGCCAAUUAUACUUGAACUUACGGGAACACAAUGGAAUUCGAUUCUAAGAGAGAAAGUUUAGCCAAUGUACCUUGUCUAAGCUUUUCUUAAGUUACCACAACUCCCUAACACUUCUAUCAAUAACAAUCUAUAGAAAGAUAGUGUAAAUCGGUUAAUAAUUAGAAGGAUUACCAUGAUGUAACUCUCUUAGGAAUUUUAUCAAACACCUAACAUGCGAAAUAGACUACAAGGCUCUAUAAUGGACAUCCUUUCAUCCCUCAACCAAUUUCAACAAGAAACUACCCAAAAUGGUUUAUUACUCCACAUACUACAACUUUGUGUCACAUGCAUGGCCUAUUUCCAACCCCACAAUAUAUUUGAACUUAUAACCUCUUGUAUGAAAGCUUAGAAGUAGGACUUACCUGAAAAGAUAGUGAUGUAGUGAUUGACUUCCUUGAUUCUUGAGGAUUGUUGCAAGAUUGGAUGAUUGGGGUGUUAGGUUUCCUCCUUCUCUCUCUAAAACGCUCUUACCUCUCUCUAAACUCACCAAAAAAUCAUCCCAAAUAAAGCCCUAAAGGCUACUUAUAAAAUGGAGCCGUUUCAUAAAAAAACCAGAAUUUGCACAGUCGCGGCGCAUGGGGCGGCACAGUAGUGAAAAAUGUGUCUAGAAACAAAAUUUUGAAGUGUUCUGGAAAUUUGCACAGCCGCGCCGCAUGGGGCGCCCCAUGGGUUGGCGCGGUAGUGUUAUAUUCUGCCAACUUUUGGUAAUUUGGUCAUAACUUCUUGUAUAAGUGUCCAAAUGACAAACAAUUUGAAGCUUUAGAAACUAAAGUCGAAGAUCUUUAAUUUGACAGGUUUUUCAUCACAUAAUUCCUCAUAUAUAUAUAUAUAAAGCUAAAAUGGUUUGAGAUUUUCUUAAGUUACUAUAACCCCAACACUUCUAGCAAUAACAAUCUAUAGGAAGAUAGUGUAAAACAGUUAUUAAUUAGAAGGAUUCCUGUGAUGUAACUCUCUUAGGAAUUUUGUCAAAUACCUAACAUGUGAAAUAGAUUACAAGGCUCUACAAUGUCGAUCCUUUCUUCCCUCAACUAAUUUCAACAAGAAACUACCCAAAAUGUUUCAUUACUCCACAUACUACAACUCUGUGUCACAUGCAUGCCCUAUUUCCAACCUCACAAUAUAUUUGAAUUCAUAACCUCUUGUAUGAAAGCUUAGAAGUGAGACUUACUCGGAAAGAUAAUUAUCUAAUGAUUGGAUUCCUUGAUUCUUGAGGAUUGGUGCAAGAUUGGAUGAUUGGGGUGUUAGGUUUCCUCUUUCUCUCUCUAAAAUGCUCUUACCUCUCUUCAAACUCACCAGAAAAUCAUCCCAAAUAAAGCCCCAAAGGCUAUUUAUUAAAAUGGGGCCAUUUCAUAAAAAAUAGAAUUAGCACUGCUACGGCACAUAGGCUAGUGCAGUAGUGAACAAUGUAUCUAGAAACAAAAUUUUGAAGUGUUCUGGAAAUUUGCACAGCCACACCGCAUGGGGCGCCAAAUUGGACGACGCGGUAGUGUUAAAUUCUACCAACUUUGAUAAUUUGGUCAUAACUUCUUGUAUGAGUGUCCAAAUGAUGAACAGAUUGAAGCGUUAGAAAUUAGACUCGAAGGUCUUUAAUUUGAUAGGUUUUUCAUCCCAUAAAUCCUUAUAUAUAUGUGUAUAUGCUCGUCCAAAGUUUGGUCUUUUGCGUACUUAUAAGGAACUUUAGUUUGUCAUGUAUUUUUCCAACUUGGCUUAAACUUAUGCCCCUCCUUAGACCCCAAAUCACUUAUAAUAUAGCUUGUACACUUANNNNNNNNNNNNNCAAAAUAAUGUAAUUAGUGCACAUCAACUUUCUUAAUAGAGCUUAACUACUUCAAAAAAUUUCGGGGUGCUAAAACCACCAUAAUAGUACCAUAACCAUUAGACUUCAGUAGACAAGUAAUAAAGUCCAUAGUUGUGCUCUCCCAUAGACACUCUGCGACUGGCAGUAGUUCCAAAAGUCCUCUGGGUUGUUGUUGCUCAACCUUGUCUUGCUGACAUAUAAGACAAGUCUUCUAUGUCAUCUCGCAUGCGCGACCAAUAGUAGGCUGACUCAACCAAGGCCUAGUGUGAUGUUGGCAUGGAUGACCAGCCCACAUUGUGUCAUGACUCUCCUUUAUGAUUCACCAUCUAAUGCUUCCAAACUUAGGCACAUAGACCCGUCGAAUCGUGGUAAGCAAUAUGUCGUCUUCUACCUAAAAACGUCUUGUCUUGUCGUGGUUGGAUAACUCGAUAAGCUGUUUGGCUGCUGGAUCAUGUUGCAUGCCUUAUUUUAUAGCAUCACGAAUGCCCCAACUUGCUGAAGUGAUGGCAGCAAGCUCGGCUUUCCUGCUCAAGAUAUCAGCUACAACAUUACCUUUGCCCGGCUUAUACUCCAACACAUAAUCAAACUCGGCCAAGAAAUCCUACCACCUAGCCUGUUUUAGUGUGAGCUUCUUCUGUGUCUAAAAGUAGCUAGUAGCCACAUUAUCAGUCUUGACCAUGAACCUCGACCUGAGCAAAUAAUGUCUCCAAGUACGAAGGCAAUGCACAAUGGCAGUCAUUUCCUUCUCUUGCAUUGUGUAACGCUGCUCUGUGUGUACCUCAAAUGUCUUGGCAAAGUCAGGUAACGCCAAGACUGGCUUCUCUAUUAUAGCUGCCUUAAGGCCUUCAAAUGCCUUUUGACAAUGCUCUCGUCCAAACCCAUGGCUUGUUCUUCUUUAGCAACUCAAUCAAUGGUUCGGCCUUUACUGAGUAGCCACAGAUGAAUCGACGAUAGUAGUUAACAAGGCCAAGGAAGAAUCUCAACUCAUUUACCUUUAUAGGUUCCUCCCACUCCUGGAUAGCACGUACCUUUGUCUCGUUCCAUACGUAGUUCGCCAUUGCUAAUGACAUGGCCCAAGAAGUACACCUUUAAUUGUGCAAACUUGCAUUUCUCCCUCUUGAUGUACAGUUUGUUCUCCCAUAAGACUUGGAAAACCUUGCUUAAGUGCUCCAAGUGCUCCUCCAAGGUGUUGCUAUAGGUGACUAUAUCAUCUAGGUAGACUACCACGAACUGAUCAAGGUAGGGAUGGAAAAUCUUAUUCAUAAGGGUGCAAAAUGUGGUCGAUGCAUUGGUUAAACCGAAGGGCAUCACCAACCACUCAAAGGCUCUAUAUCUAGUCACAUAUGCUAUCUUCGGCUCAUCCCCUUCUACAAUGCGAACCUGGUAGUUGCCUUUGAAAAGAUCCACCUUGUAAAGUACUUCGCUUGCCCAAGUCUAUCGAACAAUUCAAUAAUGAGCGGGAUCGGGUACUUAUUCUUCAAUGUGACCUCAUUAAGUGCUCAAUAGUCUAUGCAUAAGCGAAAUGAUUCAUCCUUCUUCUUCUGGAACAAUAUUGGUACGCCGAAAAGUGCCUUCAAUGGGCGAAUGUGACCAUCAUCUAGCAGCUCCUUCAACUGUUUCCGAGCUCCUCUAGCUCGGCCGGUGCCAUACGAUAUGGGGCAAAUACGGGUGGUUUAGCCCCUAGCUCCAACUCAAUCUCGUGAUCCACCUCUCGCCUAAAUGGCAAGUGCUUAGGCAACUCCUCGGGUAUGACAUCUUUAUUUUCCUCAAGUAACUUCUUUAUGCAAGGUGGCAAUGUCUCUUGAAAACUCCUGUCUUCCUUUAGACUUGCAAUGGUUGCCACGAACGUCAGCUCCCCCUUCUUAAUCCCCUUGACAACUUGCAUAGCUGAGAGUUGUACUUGGAUCUGUCCGUGCGGCAUAGUCACUGUAGGUACCAUGCAAGAUCCUUUUCUCUCCAUAACCAAGAGACUUUGAACGUAGGGGUCGAUCAUAGUAUGACAAUGUCUAAAGAACUUUUCCCCUAGUACGAUGUCAAAGAUAUCCAUAGCAGUUAUGGUAAAGUUCGUCAUACCUUUCCAAGUUUCCAAUUUGACACUAACUUCAAUAGCUACCCCACGAGCAUUUUGUACCUCGGCUUUCAUGGUCUUGAUGCAAAAGUUAGUUGGAGCAAGCUUCAAUUCUAGUCUCUUUCUGGUAGCCUCAGCCAUGAAAUUAUGAGUUGCUCUAGUAUCCAUCAUUGCACGAGCGGGCUUGUUGUUGAUGGUGAGAUUCACAUAAUGAUUGCCAUUUUUGCUAGGUUGGAUAGCUUUCUUCGUGACAACACCACAUAAUCCGAUCAUACCCAACUAUGCAGUUCCCAAAAUCUCUCCUUGCGGUUGUUCUUUUGCUCACGGACCAGUGCACUGAGGCUAUUGAGGUCGGGACAAUUCCAGAAUUCGUGCAGCCCUACGCAUAUAUAGCAUCCCUUCGUCUCGGCCUGCGCCUCCUUCUCGGCCGAGAAGAACUUAUUUGUCAUGUCCUUAGUAGUUAACUAAGUACACGUGUGACACUUGACAACUCGCUUAUGAUCUUGCACAACUUGCUCAUGUUCUUGCUAUGCCAAGUCAGUCUUACUAUACUCAAGAUCACUAAGAGAAUGAUAGAAAGAACACAAGAGACUUGCUAAAGGAAGUUUGUAUUAGAGAGAACUUGAAUUGCUUGCUUGGUGAAUUAUAAAUGGAUGAACACCUUUAUAUAUUAGUCUCCUAGGGGCUAGAGUGUAAAUAUUAAUUGCUACACAAGUCCUUUAAUAUUUACAAGAUAAGCGCGUUCUCUAAAAUUCUCUACAAGCCUAGAAUAUUUCAAGGAUAUUCCUAGCAAAUCCAUAGGGAUCUAGGGUCUUCCUAUGGAAAUGUCCAUACUUCUCUAGAAUCUGGUCCUCAGUAUUUGUGAGAAGAUUCUAGAGAAGUAUGGACAUUUCCUUUGGAAAACCCUAGAUCCCUAUGGAUUUGCUAGGAAAGUCAUUGGAAUCUUCUAGGCUUGUAGAAAGUUCUAGAGAAAGCCCUUAUAUUGUAAAUAUUAAGGACUUGUGUGUCACAACCCAAACUGAUGGGUCAUGAUGAGUGCCUAAGUCAUUGAACACCCUUAAGCAUGCGUCUAACAUAUAAACAUAAAUAACAUCUGUUGAACCAUGAGAAUAGCAUACAUGAGGAAACAUGUCCAAAAGACACACACACACACAUAUAUAUAUAUAUAUAUACACACGUGCGAGAUACAUAGGGUAAGGCAACAAGGCUACUAUAGAAAACUACAUAUAAGAAAUUGGAACCGACAAGGCCACAUACUACCCAACUAUACAUGACUAUCUAUAGACCUCUAACAGAAUAUACAACUGUACAAGGACGGGAUUGGGCCCUAUCAUACUCAUAUAUGUAUACAAACAUAUCGUACCAAAAUCCAAAGUAGCUCCGGAUCAAAUGGAGCAUACCCACUCUCGUUAAUCAAGGAUCCUAAGAAUGGGGACCGUAAGCUUGUCUACCUACACCUGCGGGCAUGAAACGUAGUCCCCGAGAAUAGGGCGUCAGUGCGAAUAAUGUACCAAGUAUGUAAGGCAUGAAAAUCAGUACAUAAAUGACAUAGAUGAAACAUGUAAUAAACAAUUUCGCAUGUAAGUCUAAAUAUCAUUGUAAAUCCUGAAACAUUUAUAAUGUCGUGCAUGUGCGUAUAAAUGUCAUGUCAUGCAUAGGUAUAGGUGUUCGUAACAUCAUCAAGCCUCUGAGGGCAUCCCAUCAUAUCAUCUAGGCCAUUAUGGGCAAAAUCAUCAACAUAUACCAGCUGAUCAGGUGGUACUGCAUAUAUAACGCCGUAACAUUUUCCCAUAUCCCAUAUAUAUAUAAUAUACGCGUAUAUAACGUCAUCUGGUCAUGGGUCAAUGUACAUGUAUAAGUGAAUGAAAUGCAUAAGAAAUACAUUAAUAAGAUUUUCUCGGAAUGUUAUGAGAUUAUUAUACCUUUCGGAUAACUUUAUCAACUACGUAUUUUUCUGAGACCCAUGAACAGAAGAUAUAAUGAUAAAUCACAUGGGAGAUCAAGAAUAUAAGCAUCCUUAGUAAUUCUAUGAAUAGAGUUAUUUAUGAAAGUUGUGCAUUUGCUCGUUUCAUUUGUAUCGUAUGGAUCAUGUCAAAAAGAAAGAAGGGAUUAGCCUUAACAUACCUGAACCGAUUCUCUUGACAAUACCUCUAACAAAUAUUAAUUGCGACGAAACACGUUACGACAAAAUUGGAGUAGGGAAAAAUCCAUAUGAUAUUCUUGAGAAAGAUUGCACCGUACUCCUUUAUAAUUGCAAAAUCUCACGUUUUGAAUUGUCAAAAAAACCUAUGAAAUAUUACGUCUCGACUUGUUGAAGAAUCUAUGGAAUCUCAUGUUGCUUUGAUGAAGUUAUCUUGCUGAUAAUAUAACAUAUCGUUAGGAACAUGAAUUCUUAUCGCACGAUCUUAGAUAAGAAGAGAGGAUAACAUCCUGUAUGUCUUUUAGCCUCUUGUCUAUAAGUGAUAAACAAGACUCUAUUAGACACGGUCUAUAGACUACCUAGGACAGAACUGCUCUGCUACCACUUUGUCAUGCCCCAAACCCGGGAAGGCGUGGUUGGCACCCGGUGCCAUUAUACCCUGAGCAAACCACUCUGUUACUCAUUUUUUUCCUUUUUAACUAUCACGGGCCAACAUGGCCACAACUCGUAAUGUAUAAAAAUAAGUGGAAACAGAGUGUAUUAAUAAACCAUCUUUCUUAAAACAUGAAUACAUAUGGGCCGACAAGGCUUCUGACGUCCUUUUGUUGGGGAUGCUGCAUUCAUCCCUGCAGGUGUAGACAAUCAAUUUAACGAGCCCUUAUAGUAGACGAGGUCAGCAUUCAACGAAGAAUUGGUAAGACUGCACCUCAUUCGAAGUGCUUCCGAGUCUAUAAGACAUCGUGUUAGAGUUUUGCUACAGAUUUAUGGGUAGGUCGGUACCCUUUCCCAUUUGAUGUCAAAUAAUCUUAGAAGCUUUUUAGACAAAGUUUCAUUUUGUACAGUAUGUCAGAGGCCUUAACGGCCCAUAUGUAUUCAUAUUUUAAGAAAGAUGGUUCAUUGAUAUAGUAUUUUCCCACUUAUUAUUAUACAUUACGAGUUGUGGCAAUGUUGGCCCAUGAAAGUUAAGAAAGAAAAAGAUGAGUUACAGAGUGGUUAGCUCGGGCCAGUACGACACCGGGUGCCAGCCACGCCUCCCCAGGUUUGGGGCGUGACAUUGAGUAACAAUUAAUAUUUACACUCUAGCCCCUAGGAGACUAGUAUAUAAAGGGGAUCAUCCAUUUGUAAUUCACCAAGCAAAACAAUUCAAGUUCUCUCUAAUACAAAGUUUUCUUUAGCAAGUCUCUUGUGUUCUUUCUAACAUUCUCUUAGCAUUCUUGAGUAUAGUAAGGCUGACUUGGUAUAGCAAGAACAUGAGCAAGUUAUGCAAGAUCAUGAGCGAGUUGUCAAGUGCCACACGUGUACUUAGUUAAAUACUAAGUACGUGACAAAGAGCUGAAUAAAUUACAAACUUACGAGAACGGUUCCAUGAUUCAGAAAGAGAUGGAGCUAUGGCCAGGAUAAUAUCCUGGCAGCAAUUAUGACAAACCUCUCCAUCCAUCUACAGUCACUGUCAUCAUCCACGCUGGUGAAAAGGGCAUGGUGACCUUGUUUGAUGAAAUUUAUUACUCCCCCACAAAAGAUUUUUGGGGACUAGAGAUACAUCAUGUGUGCCAAGGUUGGGAUUUUCCUAGUCUCCAUGCACAAUUGGCAUAGGAAAGUCAUAGUUUGUCAUAUAGAUGGGCCUACUUGUGCCAAGCAAACCUGGUACUAGUGGCUGAACUCCAAAAUUAUGGGGUCAAACCCUUCACUCGUCCCAAGACAAACGGACCCAAAGUAAAAGGAUACGUAUAGACAUACGUAAAACCUUUCUUUGUGAAGUUAACCCGCUCUAUCAUAACCGGAGCAAAGAUGUUAAGAUUUGGACAGUUGCAGUCCUCCUUCACAGCAAGAGUACUAGAAGGGCAAAUAGAGGAAGUGUACCUGCUAGUGGCCCAAGUCUGUAGGGACGCGGAUGAAAACUUCUCUUGGAACUCAUUGGUAAUGGUCAGGUGUUUGGGUAUGAUGGUACUUAUCGUGGGAGGCUCGGAAUCAACGUUGACCUCUUUGUCUUUGUUUCUAUUUGGGCCUCCACCGAGGAGAAGACUAGAGUUUCGAAAAGAUUCAGUAGAAGAAGUUAUGGUAGUAAAAAUGUAGUAAAGUUUUUUAGAGAAAGUCAGAAAGAUGGAAGUUUCUAAGAAGGAAGAGGCUAAGUGGAGAAAAGAUGUUGAACUUAUGAAGAUUUUGGAAGUGAAAGAGGUAAAAUAAUAAAAAUAAGUAAAGGUAUAGACGACAAAAAUCGUGAUCAUGACUACCUUGAGAACCAGUAAAAAUAUUAUUGAAUUGUGGGGCAACACGUAUUCGGGGUAUUAAAUGCGAGAAGACGUGCGCCCUUUCAAGCAUCAGAUACUGUUCAGGAGAUUUCCUGCCAAGAAAUGAAUCUUCACCAACUUCCUAGUGACACAAAGAUAUGUCACUAAAAAGUAGGUGGAUUGUCUGUAUAGGAUAAAAUUGGUCCGUAAUAAAUGGUCUAAUGCUAGCAUGUCACGUGGAAUUGAAGAGAGGUAAAAUGCGAGUCAAGUAACUACCAGUACUAGGAAAAACAUCUGCAGUUGGUAUCGAUAAACCCCGAAGAGAGUCUGAUCAACGAGAGUAGUUUGAAUGUUUGCCAUCGGAUAACAUUCAAUAAAGAAUAUUCUCUAUCAUAAAAUAGGCAGUCGUUGCAGAGAAUAUUUGUAUUCAUGGUCUGCCAUUAUAUAUUCAUCAAUGACUCCUUUAUUAUCAUUUAAGUGGUGCUUGAUCCUAGGAACUUAUUUCCCUAAGUAUAACUAUAAAUAGCAGGGUCAAUAGCCAUUGUCAGACAGGAAAUUCUUAGCAAAACUUAUGAUGUAUUCUACUUUCACUCUCAAUUAAAACAACUUUAUUUGCUCUUUUAUAUUGUUCUCAUUUCUAUCCUCGGAGACGCUGUUCUCGGAUCCAGGCUUGUCAUUUUUCUUCAAUCUUAAUCGCUAAGUCUUACUUUUAAUCUUAUUUAUUUACCAUUUUUGGAUCAAAUCAAUUCAUUUGUGUAUAAACAAUAUAACAAAUUCAAAUGUACUGUUUACGGGUAAACAUGCAUAUUUUUGAGUUGUGACAAAACUUACAUAGAGCCCGUUUGGAUUAGCUGACUUGAAGUAGCUGAUAAGCAUUAGAUGCUGAAACUGAUUUAAUAAAUAAGCAGUUAUGUAUUGGGUAUAAGUGCUGAAAUUGAUAAUAAGUUGUUGCAGUAGUAAAUUAAAAAAAUUGCUGAUAAGCUCUUUUUCUGUUAAAAUGACUUAAAUAACCUUAGAAUUGUUUACACUUAUAAGAACUUAAUUUCUUCAAAAUUUUAGAUUCAAGAUCGAAUCAAAUACAAAGUAUUCUAUUUAGCAUUUUAUUUUAAAUACAACUAUGCUUAGAUAUGAUAAUUUUUAUGAUAAAUAUAAUUUAUUUUAUGAUAAGCAUAUAAUCAUAAGUUAUAAUAAUUAAUAAAUUGAAAAAAGUUUCUCAGUAAAAAAUAAACCUAAAUUGGACAAAAUAUUUGAGGAGAAACAAAUACUGUCUUCAUCUCCACAACCGUUAGAAAGCAAUACACCAAAAAUUUGAUAUGUCCUCAUUUAUUACAAACAGUUCAAAGAUUAAUACACAAUCACAUAGAUAUAAAUAUGCAAAGGAAUAGAGAAUUUGCUUAUCAUAAAUAGUCAAUCAGAAGAGAAGGGGGGCUAGAUUGGUGAGUAUCGAUGUAGAUGUUCUGUUCUAAAAAGGAAUAUUUUAAUAAUAAAAUAGUAAAAAACCUGAUCAAACUUAAAGUGCUUAUAAGCUAAAAAUUCAUAAGCUGGGGUGAGCUUUUGGCUUAUUUUUGACUUAUAAGCACUUUUAACUUUACCAAACGCGUAGAUAAAAUAAAAAGUGUUUAUAAGCUAGUUUGACCAGUUUAUAGGCUUCGCCAAACACCCUUGUAGUCUUUUUUUUGAGCAAACAGGAAAUAUAUAUAUAUAUAUUAAUACUUAAGGAGGGUUAAAUACAUUGUUCCCAUAUUUGGUGUCUCGAAGGACACUUUCAUUACCUAGGCAUGCCAAAGUGUUGCAAGCAUUAUAAGAGAGUAGCUUAACAAAAAUACAUUGUUCUAAUAAGUCCUUUUCCACAAAACAUUUAACAUAAGAGGGAGCUUCAACAAAAAUCUACAUGCCUUCACGUUCUUCCUUUGCCUUUUUUGCCAUGUGAUGAGCAGCAUUAUUCCCUUGCCUGAAUGUGUGCCAGAGGAUUAUCUCCUUCUGCUGGUGCAUUAACCACCUGUAUUCAUUAACAAUAUCAUCAUAAAGCAUAUUUCCUUGAAGGAUCGUUUGUAUAGCCUCCACAGAAUCUGAUUCUAUUGCAAGCGGGUAUAGUCUCCAUUUUUUAGCCAUUUUGAGCCCUUCUAGUAGAGCUUUCAACUCUGCUUCUAGUGAUCCACUUGCAUAUGAAGAUUUUCCAAACCCCACAAUCCAGUAUCCUUUAGUAUCUCUAAAAGUGCCUCCCAAACCACAUUUUUGCGUAACAUUGUUAUAGCUAGCAUCUAUGUUCAGCUUAGUCCACCCUUUUGGUGGCUUGUGCCGUGCAAUAUUAAUAAGAAUUUUAGGAGUGAAGAUGCUUUUUUCAGUGAGGAGUUUAUAUUUAGUAGCCUUUUUAAUGAUAAAGUCACCAUUGAUUGGGGAAAUGGUGUUCUUAUGAUUGUUAUUGUUCCUAUUUUUCAAUGUAUACCAAAUAAUGAACGGGAAGAGAAGGUCCCAAUUUAUGAUAUUAUUCGUAAUUGGGUAGUUAAAAAUCUUCAGUUGGAUGCCAGUGAUCACCUGAAACUUUGUAGUAGUGAUGCCACCCAACCCUUUCCCAAAAGGGCUUGAUUGCCUUACAGCUAAAGAAAAUGUGAAUAAUAGAUUCUUCCUCGUUAUUUCUACAUACCGGACACAUUGGAUCUAAGUUCAAACCAAUUCUCGCCAGGUAUUGUCUACAAGGAAUCCUGUUAUGGAGACAUUGCCACAAAAGGUAUUUUAUUUUAUUGGGACAAUUUAGCUUCCAAAUUCAUUGGAAAUCCAGAUAGUUGAUUUUUGAAGACUCAAGUAAAUUAAAUCAAGUUUUAGUUGUGAAAAGGCCUUUGGUAGUUAGUGACCAUAUAGGGAUGUCACUCCUUGGGUCUUUUCCCCGAAUUCUCACCUUUUUAAUAAUGUCCUUAAUGUGAUUUGGGAUAUCAAUAGAAAGAUUAUCAAGUUCCCAAUUUUUCCCAUUUAGUAAGUCCUUUAAUUUUAUGGUUUGUUCACUUUUUUGAAGAGGGCCUUCCACAGUAGCUCUAAGAUUUCCUACUCCAGAGAUCCAAUUAGUUUCCUAAAUAUUCAUGUUUGAGAGGAUGUGGGGUGACCAAGUGAUUCUUUUAGAGCAUAACGCCCAACCCUUUUUGAUGCUUCUCCAAAAAAAAAGAGUUUUUAUUAAUAGCAUUAUUUGAAGCAUAGGUGGAGAUUAUAAGAGUAACCCAAGGAGAGGUGGGAUUUGUGAGCAAUCUCCAAACCAUACUAGCCAAAGUACAUAGGUUCUUUGAAGUGGCACUAUGUAUUCCUAGACCACUAUUAGAUUUUGCUCGGCAAAUGGUAGACCAAUUAAUAAGGUGCAUUUUUUUCUUCUCAUUGGUGGACCCCCAGAUGAAAUCCCUUUGCACCUUGUCAAUUUUAUUGAGAAUCUUUUUUGGUAGUAAGGUAUAUUGCAUAUAGUGGUUUGGAAUUGAAUUUAAACAAGAGUGCCAGCGUAGUUCUGCCAGCUAUAUUAAUGAAAUUCAUUUUUCAAGUAGCUAGAUGGGAUCUCAUCUUAUCAAUUAUGAAUUGGUAGUCACUUGGCCUAGGGGAGUUAUUUAAUAUUGGGAAUCCUAGGUAGGUGCCAAAAUACUCACUUUUCCUAAUACCUAGUAUGUUAGUUAUAUCUUUUAUGUCGGAUUCAGGACAAUUUUUUGAAAACAAAAUUUUAGAUUUCGAGAGAUUAAUUUUUUGCCCAGAAAUUUUACAAAAAUAGGUAAGACCUUCUUUGAUAGAGUUACACGACUUCUUAUUGGCUUUAGCCAUAAAAGUGAGAUCGUCCGCAAAGAACAAGUGGGAAAAAAUUGGACUCUUCCUUCCAGUGGUUAUAGGAUCCCAUUUCCUUAAGUCUACUUGAUAAUGAAUAUAUCAUGAAAGCAUUUCCAGACAAAGUAUGAAGAUAUAUGGAGAAAUGGGUCCCCUUGUCUAAUUCCCCUAGUUGGCUCAAAAGAGUUUGUGACAGAGCCAUUUACUAGGACAAAUAUCGAGCUAGUUGUAAUACAAUUUAACAGAAGUUUUUAGAACUUGGGAGGAAAUUUAAAGUAUUGAAGGGUAUAGUGUAUGAAAGACCAUUCAAUACGAUCAAAAGCUUUUUCCAAAUCGAUUUUGAGGAUCAUUUGACCUUGUUUUCUCUUUAAUCUCUUUAAGUUUAAAACUAUAUCUUGGAUAAUAACAGCAUUAUCGGAAGCUCUUCUAUUCUUCACAAAGCUAGCUUGGAAGGGACUAAUUAGGUUAUUUAGAAAAGGUUUUAGUCUAUUAGCUAGUAUACAACAACAACAACGACCCAGUGUAGUCCCACAAGUGGGGUCUGGGGAGGGUAAUAUGNNNNNNNNNNNNNNNNNNNNNNNNNNNNNNNNNNNNNNNNNNNNNNNNNNNNNNNNNNNNNNNNNNNNNNNNNNNNNNNNNNNNNNNNNNNNNNNNNNNNNNNNNNNNNNNNNNNNNNNNNNNNNNNNNNNNNNNNNNNNNNNNNNNNNNNNNNNNNNNNNNNNNNNNNNNNNNNNNNNNNNNNNNNNNNNNNNNNNNNNNNNNNNNNNNNNNNNNNNNNNNNNNNNNNNNNNNNNNNNNNNNNNNNNNNNNNNNNNNNNNNNNNNNNNNNNNNNNNNNNNNNNNNNNNNNNNNNNNNNNNNNNNNNNNNNNNNNNNNNNNNNNNNNNNNNNNNNNNNNNNNNNNNNNNNNNNNNNNNNNNNNNNNNNNNNNNNNNNNNNNNNNNNNNNNNNNNNNNNNNNNNNNNNNNNNNNNNNNNNNNNNNNNNNNNNNNNNNNNNNNNNNNNNNNNNNNNNNNNNNNNNNNNNNNNNNNNNNNNNNNNNNNNNNNNNNNNNNNNNNNNNNNNNNNNNNNNNNNNNNNNNNNNNNNNNNNNNNNNNNNNNNNNNNNNNNNNNNNNNNNNNNNNNNNNNNNNNNNNNNNNNNNNNNNNNNNNNNNNNNNNNNNNNNNNNNNNNNNNNNNNNNNNNNNNNNNNNNNNNNNNNNNNNNNNNNNNNNNNNNNNNNNNNNNNNNNNNNNNNNNNNNNNNNNNNNNNNNNNNNNNNNNNNNNNNNNNNNNNNNNNNNNNNNNNNNNNNNNNNNNNNNNNNNNNNNNNNNNNNNNNNNNNNNNNNNNNNNNNNNNNNNNNNNNNNNNNNNNNNNNNNNNNNNNNNNNNNNNNNNNNNNNNNNNNNNNNNNNNNNNNNNNNNNNNNNNNNNNNNNNNNNNNNNNNNNNNNNNNNNNNNNNNNNNNNNNNNNNNNNNNNNNNNNNNNNNNNNNNNNNNNNNNNNNNNNNNNNNNNNNNNNNNNNNNNNNNNNNNNNNNNNNNNNNNNNNNNNNNNNNNNNNNNNNNNNNNNNNNNNNNNNNNNNNNNNNNNNNNNNNNNNNNNNNNNNNNNNNNNNNNNNNNNNNNNNNNNNNNNNNNNNNNNNNNNNNNNNNNNNNNNNNNNNNNNNNNNNNNNNNNNNNNNNNNNNNNNNNNNNNNNNNNNNNNNNNNNNNNNNNNNNNNNNNNNNNNNNNNNNNNNNNNNNNNNNNNNNNNNNNNNNNNNNNNNNNNNNNNNNNNNNNNNNNNNNNNNNNNNNNNNNNNNNNNNNNNNNNUUUCAUUGUAUGACUUAGUAAUUUGAUGCCCCUAUAGUUGUUACAGCUCUGGACAUCACCUUUGUUCUUAUACAACGGGACCAUUGUACUCCACCUCCACUCUUCAGGCAUUCUAUUAGUCUUGAAUAUAACACUAAACAAUGCAGUAAGCCAUUCCAAGCCUGCUCUACUAGCCAUUCCAAGUCUAUUAGCUAGUAUCUUUGUGAUUAUUUUGUAUAACAUAUUACACAAACCAAUUGGUCUAAAAUUCCUAAUGUUGUUUGCAUUAGGUAUUUUGGGUAUUAGACAAAGGUAGGUAGUAUUAAUAAUGGGAGGGAUUGCUUGGCUGUCGAAUAUGUCUGUACAAAGUUUCACAACUGAAGGACCUAUGAUACUCCAAUAUUUUUGAUAAAAAAAAGGGUGAAGUCCAUCCGGUCCCAGGGCUUUAAAAGGCUUGAAAGAAAAGAUAGCCCUUUUGAUUUCAAUUUCUUGCAAGGGUCUAUCCAGUGUACUAAUGUCAACUUGGCCAAUAUUUGAACUAGGGUUUAGGGGGUUUCUCCUACUGGUCAUUGCAUGGGAAGAGGUAAAAGUGUACUUAAAAUAAUUAUUGACAUAUGACAUAAUAAGAAGUGGAUCAAGUAAACUUGACCAAGUAAACUUGCACCCCUUGAAUCCAAGAUCAACUAGAUUGCAGCUAUUAAUCUUGGACCAAGGGAAUUUUGCCCAUGAACCUUUUAUAGGCCUACCACCAAACUUAUCAUUAGCAGUAAACACAUCAUUAAAAUCUCCUCCCACCAUCCAAGGACCUAUAUGGUUUCUACUAAUUUUUUCUAGGUUAUCCCACAUAGCAUUUCUAUUAUAUAAAUAAGUGCUAGCAUAAAUAGUACUAAAGAGCCACUAUUUACGUAUAGGUAAUACCUCAAUCAUUGCAUGGAUUUCCUGAUUUCUACGAACGAAAUUUUGGACAGUCACCACCUCAUGGUUGUAUAGCAGCACAAUUCCUCCAAUUUGGCCAUCGGAUGGAACUUCUAUCAUUUCUGUGAAGCCAAAGUUAUUGAGCAAUUCAACAUGGCUUCCCAUUCUUGUUUCCAAUAAAGCCACCAUGCAAGGUCUAUGAGUGUCGACCAUCUCUCUGAAAUUCCUCCUAAAGUUUUCAUUAUUGCCACUUCUUAUAUUCCAAAUAAUGACAUUUGUUGGACGAUUCAUGGAGACAUUAAGGUUUUGGUUUGGUGGUUCCCCAUUUUUCCUCACAGUCCAUAGAAUAGGGUUCCUUCUCAAAGCUGGUACUAAUAUCAUGGCCAUGUUCCCCACAGUUGGAUCCUGGGGUGGCCUGAUGUCCAUCGAGCAUUUGUACAAUGCUAAUGGGCAGUUGAGUACGUGCCUCUUCUCUUGCAUCUCCGUAAAGAGAAAUACCUUUAUCCCGUCUAGGCUUGAGAACUCUAGGAUUCGUUCUAAGAUUAUAUUGAGAGGUUCCUCCUCCUCCAUUUCUGCCUCUACUAGUUCUAGGUUUUGGACUUGUUGCUGGGGUGGUGAUGGGGUGGUUGAGGAAUGUUUUGCUCCUAGACUGGUGAAGGAUUCUCCCAAGGAAUGAACAUAGGGUUGAAUUGAGUUAGUGUCUCUGUAGGAAAGAAUGGCAUGUCCAGAAGAGCAUUGUGAGGGUAUAUGGGGUUGAAGUGAGGGGGUAAAUUCCAGUGAUUUGUCAUUGCAUGCACUAGUUGAGGGUUUACUGAGGGAGCUAGGGGUUGUAGGAUAUUGUUUAGCCAAACUUGGUUGAGGUAGUUGUUCAUGGCUAGUCUUAUGCCCUCCGCUAAUAGUUGAGCCAAAUACUGGGUGUUGUGAAGAAUCACAAUUGAGUCCUGGCCGUUGAUUUGUAGAUUGAAUGAUACUGCAUGUCCCAUUAAUCCCAUUUCCAUCCACGAUACUGGUUGAUAGUCCUGCGCUUGUGGUAGUUGGACGUAAAUUAUAUGUGGAUUUUCUACUUGUGGAGGAAAGGGUAGAAGGUUUUCCAUGGCAAUUGCUCUGUGUUGCCUUAGGAUCUGUAUCAAUCUGGGACGUCUCCUUAUGGUUGAAGGAAUUCUGGGCAUUUUGAGGAGGGAUAGGAAUACCUAACGUUUCUAAAUUUGGUGUGUGAGAGGGGCUAGGGAAAGCUUGAGAAGGAUUGGGUGGUAGGCUAAUGAUUUGGUGUUCCGCUUUCAUGGAUUUUGGUUGCCCAAUGCCAUGGUUUAUAGGUAUUUCCUCUAUAGGAGUAGUAUCCAUUGCUUGGUUAUUUUGGUUGGACAAAUGUAAGCAUUGGCCAUCUUUAUUUGCCAUUUGGAUUACAUGCUCAGGGAGGGAGAGAUUAUGAGAUCCUAAAGGAAGAUUUUUGUCCGGAUUUUUGGUUAAAGUAGUAUAAUUACCAAUAGGUUUUAUUUUAUUAGUAGGGAGGGUAGUGGAUGUAUUAUUAGUAGAAGGGUAAGUCAUUUCCCCUUAAUUCUUGCAUAGGGCCAUUUUCCCUUUUUUUUUUUUGAGUUAGACACAUUAAUAUCCAACAUGACACAAUUCUUGUUUGUGUUGGACAUUUGUUCUUUUGCAUGGGUAGUACUAGGAUUAUUAAGAAAAUUCUUAUUAUUUUGGAUGGUUUCAUUAGUGGUUUCCUCUAAAACCGUGUGCUCAUUUUCUAGGAUAUUAAAAUUAUUUUUAAUUAGUAGGGAAGUGGUGGUUUUGGCCAUGGUUGCCGGAUUUCUCACCAUGGAGUUGACAGUAUUAGUUUUAUCAACCUUUAUAUCCAUUAAAGUAGGGGAGUCCUUUAAAUCCUUUGAUUCGUAAUGUAAGUAUUUAGUAUCAAGAUACUUACCAAUGCUAGCAUUGAACAUCUUAACGGGGAUAUCUGGACCUUUAGAGUUGUUGAUUGGCUUUGUGGUAUUUUGAUGAAUGUUCCUUUGUGCUAGCCUUUUUCCCAUACUAAACGAGACUGUUUUCCACUCCUCUUCUUUUUUUUCCAUCAUUGAGUUAGUUGCAUGUUCUUCAGUUCCUGCUUCAAUAGCCAUGGCAUCUAAUUUGAUAAAGGUGCAUUGAUUUUUUUUGUGUCCCAGCCUACCACAAUUUGUGCAUAGGAAAUUAUCUCCUUCGUAGUGGAUGUGUUGUUUGUGUUGUCCCACAUAUAGAAAUGGUUGGACUGGGAUUUCUCAGGGAAGUUCAACAUAUAGCCUUGCAUAUCUUCCCCUUAGUAUAGUUGAGGUACAAACAUCCACCUUUAGUAAACGACCAAUUGCAUUGCCAAUUUUUUGUAGUAUUUUUCCAUCGUAAAAUUCCGUAGGCAGUUGUGGGAGUCUAAUCCAAACAGCCGUUGUUGUCAACCUCUCUUUGGAAGCUACAAAAUUUGGUUUCCAUUUUGUAAUGGAGAGGAAGUAUCCGUUAAUAAACCAAGGGCCUUGUUGAAUAGCUUUUUCCAUAUUGUCCUUUUUUUUGAACUUCAUUAUAAAGUAGUCCUCUCCUAGAUCAAUCAUUUGGAAAUCUUCCGUUGGCCUCCAUAGGUCUUGGAUUUUCUUUUGCAAAUAGUGGUGCACCAUGCGUUUGCCCACUAAUUUCACUAUAAUAGCAUACUUCCAAGGUGUAUUGGGAAAAAUUGAGUUUACAUAUUAAAGUGAUUGGAAGAUGAUGUGUCAUGACACGUAGACUGGUCAAAGAAUUAUGAUUGGCAAAGAGGCACGAGUUGCAACAGAUAUGAGCAGAGGCAUAAGAGGAGGCAUGAGCGGAUACUCAAAAGAUUCAACGCCCGUACCUAUUUAAGUCCAAGAAUCAAGGAGAAUGAAUCUGACAGCACAAGAGAGUACAGAUGCAGUAUUUAAUGAGCAUUAAAUACUAAAAAACGUUAGAGAAUUUGUAUUAAAAUACAAUGAUUAUAUAACGUAGCAUUUAAUGUCUUUAAUUGUCUAUAAUGGCCUUGUUAUGACAAAGGCAAAAUGCAUAUUUUCAAGAUAGCUAUAAAAGGGAAAGGUUCGGUCAAUUGUAAGAGAAGAACUAUUUGAAUACAUCGAUUUACUUUAUAUCCUUCUAAUUAUCUUAUUUCUAGCCAAAUUACUUUCUCUUAUACAUUUUUUGAUUAUCAGUAACCCGAGUUCUUCUAAAUUAAAGCUUUGACCGAAAUUCCACUUUUUGGUUAAAUAAAUUGGUUCCGUUACCGGGAAUCUGAUAAUCUAUUCUUUUUUAGUUUAACUUUCCUUGUUGCAUCAACCAUGUCGAACAAUAAUGACAACAUUCAAGGAAACCAAGGAAACCAACAACUUCAGGGAAAUCUAUAGGAUAAUCACACCUCGGACCCUUCUCCACAAAGCUCUCCUCGGCGGUCUCAAGAAGGCACUCCUGAUGGAUCUCAUGCAAAUGGAAACGCUCAAUUUGAAAAUGUUCAAGCUAUCGAUGAAGCUUUGCAAGAACUAAUUACUGAACAGGUCAAUAAAGCUCUUGAGACUUUUACUAGCCAGUUACCAGCUACACCACCCACACCCACUCCAAAUAACAAAACUUUGGAGAACCCUCGUUCUGGGCUUGUUAAUUCAGGUAGUGGUGAAACCCCCAGCGAAUCACAAGAGGGAGUACCAGGUAACUUAGUCAAUUCUGAUUUACAAAAUUUAGUACUAACAUUGCAGAAAUAGCUCAAGGAGCAAAGCGACCGCAUAGAGCAAAUACCCGAGGUGUCGCCCGUAAUCAAAGGGAUAGAUAUGAAUAAAUAUUCGCAACAACCCUGGAAGCCAAGUGCUGCCCCCCCUCCCAAUUCCAAAGAAAUUCAAAAUGCCCGAUAUUCCAAAAUACGAUGGAACAAUUGAUCCACGAGACCACGUGACUACAUUCACAACAAGUGUAAAAGGUGACGACUUGACCAAAUAGGAGAUCGAAUCAGUAUUGGUCAAGAAAUUCGGUGAAACACUCACUAAGGGUGCAUUAACAUGGUAUUCUCUUUUACCCGAAGAUUCUAUAAAUUCUUUUGCUGAGCUGGCAUAUUCUUUCAUCAAAGCACACUCGGGAGCUCAAAUCGAAAAAAGAAUGGAAGAUAUUUUCAAAAUCAAGCAAGGGGACUCAGAAUUGCUUAGAGAGUUCGUGGACAGAUUCCAACAUGAAAGAAUGACAUUACCGCAUGUACCUGACAAUUGGGCAGCUAUAGCUUUCACAAGUAAUUUGAAUGAAAAAAGCUCAGAAGCUACAAGGUGACUCAAGGAAAGUCUUCGUGAAUUCCCAGCUAUAACAUGGAAUGAUGUUUAUAAUAGGUAUAGCGCGAAGCUGAGGAUAGAGGAAGAUAUUUGAUAAUAGGCUAUAUAGUUGUUAUUUACACCAUAAUUGUCCAUGCUUUGUUAUUGUUUUAUAAUGUAAGUUGCCAAUAAAAUGCUUUAAUUAAUGCUAUUUGGUUUCGCAGGGAAUAUAAGAUGUGAGGAAGCAACAUGAAGUGUUUAGAGGCAAUAACGUGAAGAAAACACCCACUCAAGAAGUACCCAAACACAAAAGAGCAAAAAGAGAAGGAACGCAGAGACAAAAAGGCCCAACAUACUCACCACAGUUUCCACCGCAGUCCACGCCGCGGUUGGAGUCAGUGUUCUCCGCGGUCAGCGCCGUGGUCGACGCCACGGUCGCGGCGGCAUGUUCACAGUCUAGAAAUUUAAGGGGCCAAAGUGUCAAUUCGGGAAAGCUUUUGUAAAACCCUUAUAAGAUGUAGGAAACUCGCCCAAGAGAAGAGGGGGGGCUUAUUUUGGAGAUUACUUUUGCAAGAAGACAAGUGUGAGAGAUCACCCAAAACAUCAUAGUUCUUAUUCUCUUCUAUUUUUCUGGCAAUUUUCCAUUAUGAAUAUUUUCAUAGUUUAUUCUUACAUUGUCAUGAGUAGUUAAAUACUUUAAUCUAAGGUUUUGGUGAAACCUGUUGGAGAUGACUUGGUUGUGAUAGUAAUAUAGUUUGAAUUGGUUGUUAA
This 33027-nucleotide long non-coding RNA is filed under the name Nicotiana tabacum (common tobacco). RNAcentral describes it as "long non-coding RNA (NTAB_LNC006977)". Lineage: Eukaryota; Viridiplantae; Streptophyta; Magnoliopsida; Solanales; Solanaceae. The record is from RNAcentral.